AACGUAGGUCACAAGUGUUGUCCGGAAUUACUGGGUGUAAAGGGAGCGCAGGCGGGAAGACAAGUUGGAAGUGAAAUCCAUGGGCUCAACCCAUGAACUGCUUUCAAAACUGUUUUUCUUGAGUAGUGCAGAGGUAGGCGGAAUUCCCGGUGUAGCGGUGGAAUGCGUAGAUAUCGGGAGGAACACCAGUGGCGAAGGCGGCCUACUGGGCACCAACUGACGCUGAGGCUCGAAAGUGUGGGUAGCAAACAGG
Molecule: ribosomal RNA, 253 nt
Filed under: Faecalibacterium prausnitzii
Lineage: Bacteria; Bacillati; Bacillota; Clostridia; Eubacteriales; Oscillospiraceae
Description: partial 16S ribosomal RNA
Rfam family: Bacterial small subunit ribosomal RNA
Source: RNAcentral